CCUACGGGAGGCAGCAGUGAGGAAUAUUGGUCAAUGGACGAGAGUCUGAACCAGCCAAGUAGCGUGAAGGAUGACUGCCCUAUGGGUUGUAAACUUCUUUUAUAUGGGAAUAAAAUGUUCCACGUGUGGGCUUUUGUAUGUACCAUAUGAAUAAGGAUCGGCUAACUCCGUGCCAGCAGCCGCGGUAAUACGGAGGAUCCGAGCGUUAUCCGGAUUUAUUGGGUUUAAAGGGAGCGUAGGUGGAUUGUUAAGUCAGUUGUGAAAGUUUGGGGCUUAACCGUAGAAUUGCAGUUGAAACUGGCAGUCUUGAGUACAGUAGAGGUAGGCGGAAUGCGUGGUGUAGCGGUGAAAUGCUUAGAUAUCACGAAGAACUCCGAUUGCGAAGGCAGCUCACUGGACUGCAACUGACGCUGAGGCUCGAAAGUGUGGGUAUCAAACAGGAUUAGAUACCCCAGUAGUC
RNAcentral lists this ribosomal RNA (460 nucleotides) under uncultured bacterium. RNAcentral describes it as "partial 16S ribosomal RNA". It matches the Rfam family "Bacterial small subunit ribosomal RNA", at positions 338 to 795 of the family's 1533-position model. The record is from RNAcentral.